Molecule: microRNA precursor, 143 nt
Filed under: Nicotiana tabacum (common tobacco)
Lineage: Eukaryota; Viridiplantae; Streptophyta; Magnoliopsida; Solanales; Solanaceae
Description: MIR1919 microRNA precursor family
Rfam family: MIR1919 microRNA precursor family
Source: Rfam by way of RNAcentral
GCUCCUGUCGCAGAUGACUUUCGCCCUUCUCUACAACGACCCUUCAUCAAUUUACAAUGAAGAAAUCAAAUAAUUCAGUGUUUUUCUACUUGGAGGGUUUUUAGUGUGACAAGAGCGAGUCAUCUGUGACAGGAUAAUGGAAG